RNAcentral lists this ribosomal RNA (443 nucleotides) under uncultured eukaryote. Its description in RNAcentral is "bacterial SSU rRNA". It matches the Rfam family "Eukaryotic small subunit ribosomal RNA", at positions 592 to 1018 of the family's 1831-position model. The record is from RNAcentral.
CAAUAGCGUAUAUUAAAGUUGUUGCGGUUAAAAGCUCGUAGUUGGAUUUCUGUUGAAGACGGCCGGUCCGCUCUAUGAGCGUGUAUCUGGUUCGGCUUUGGCAUCCUCGUGGGGAACGUAACUGUGCUUGAUUGCAUGGUGCGGUAUUCACGACUUUUACUUUGAGGAAAUUAGAGUGUUCACGGCAGGCAAGCGCCUUGAAUAUAUUAGCAUGGAAUAAUAAUAUAGGACUUUGGUUCUAUUUUGUUUGGUUUCUAGAACUAAAGUAAUAGAUUAAUUAAGGGAGUAAUUAGGGGGUCGGAUUUGUUAUUUAAACGACGUCCAGAAGGUGGGAAUUACUUUGGUAUUGUCGUUACGACAAACUAACUGCGAAAGCAUUUGCCAAGGAUGUUUUCUAUUGAUCAAGAACGAAAGUAUGGGGAUCGAAGAUGAUUAGAUACCAU